RNAcentral lists this ribosomal RNA (253 nucleotides) under uncultured bacterium. Its description in RNAcentral is "partial 16S ribosomal RNA". It matches the Rfam family "Bacterial small subunit ribosomal RNA", at positions 524 to 776 of the family's 1533-position model. The record is from RNAcentral.
UACGAAGGGGGCUAGCGUUGCUCGGAAUCACUGGGCGUAAAGGGUGCGUAGGCGGGUCUUUAAGUCAGGGGUGAAAUCCUGGAACUCAACUCCAGAACUGCCUUUGAUACUGAGGAUCUUGAGUUCGGGAGAGGUGAGUGGAACUGCGAGUGUAGAGGUGAAAUUCGUAGAUAUUCGCAAGAACACCAGUGGCGAAGGCGGCUCACUGGCCCGAUACUGACGCUGAGGCACGAAAGCGUGGGGAGCAAACAGG